Molecule: ribosomal RNA, 433 nt
Filed under: uncultured bacterium
Lineage: Bacteria
Description: partial 16S ribosomal RNA
Rfam family: Bacterial small subunit ribosomal RNA
Source: RNAcentral
AACGAACGCUGGCGGCAUGCCUAACACAUGCAAGUCGAACGAGACCUUCGGGUCUAGUGGCGCACGGGUGCGUAACGCGUGGGAACCUGCCCUUAGGUUCGGAAUAACUCCCCGAAAGGGGUGCUAAUACCGGAUAAUGUCUUCGGACCAAAGAUUUAUCGCCUUUGGAUGGGCCCGCGUUGGAUUAGCUGGUUGGUAGGGUAAAAGCCUACCAAGGCGACGAUCCAUAGCUGGUCUGAGAGGAUGAUCAGCCACACUGGGACUGAGACACGGCCCAGACUCCUACGGGAGGCAGCAGUGGGGAAUAUUGGACAAUGGGCGAAAGCCUGACCCAGCAAUGCCGCGUGAGUGAUGAAGGCCUUAGGGUUGUAAAGCUCUUUUACCCGGGAUGAUAAUGACAGUACCGGGAGAAUAAGCUCCGGCUAACUCCGUG